UUGUUCUAUUUGAUCUUAUUUGAUUGUGCAUGCCAGGAUUGCAUUCGUUGAAACAGGGCGGACCACGUGAACGUUGCAACCUCCCACCCCUUGUUUCACUAGUUCCACAGUUCACCACAUUGUAUCCCUCUUGGUUGUGGUGUUCAACCUCUCCUCUUAAUAGUGGAGUGAAAAAGUCAUCACUCAGGGUCAGGUUAAGUGUUUGUACAAUUAGCAAAGAAAUAGUUGUCAAGGGAGAGGUCGAGGGGUGAUCUUAUAGGGGUGUAUAAAAUAAUGAGGGGAAUAGAUAGAAUGAAUGCAGUAUUUUUCCCAAGGUAGGGUGAAUCAAGAACUAAAGAGCAUAGAUUUACAGCGUGAGGGGAGAGAUUUAAUAGAAACCUAAGGGGCAACUUUUUCCACACAAAGGGUGAAGGGUUUAUAGAAUGAGCUGCCAGAGGAGGUAGUUGAGGAAGGUACAAUAACAACAUUUAAAAGACAUUUGGACAGGUACAUGGAUAGGAAAGGUUUAGAGGGGUACGGGCCAAAUGCAAGCAAAUGGAACUAGCUUAGAUGUGGUAUCUUGGUCGGCAUGGACAAGUUGGGCUGAAGGGGGUGUCUCCAUGUCAUGUGACUUUAUAGUGCUACAUAUGUGGUCUCAGCAAAGUCAUACGAAACAAUUUUAUUCUUUGUACUCAAAUUUGCUUGCAAUAAAACCCAACAUUGAACUUG
Amblyraja radiata (thorny skate) is the source of this 708-nucleotide long non-coding RNA. RefSeq lists it as uncharacterized. NCBI's taxonomy places the organism in Eukaryota, Metazoa, Chordata, Chondrichthyes, Rajiformes, Rajidae. The record is from RefSeq and is a predicted model, not a curated record. The transcript has 2 exons.